Molecule: long non-coding RNA, 1088 nt
Filed under: Anas platyrhynchos platyrhynchos (common mallard)
Lineage: Eukaryota; Metazoa; Chordata; Aves; Anseriformes; Anatidae
Description: lncRNA (ENSAPLG00000025961.1)
Source: RNAcentral
CACCUACCCGCAGCCGCCGCAGCCAUAGCACGGUGGACACCAGGCUCAGCCGCAGCAGCAGCGGCAGCAGCGGGAGCAGCUCGGAUGGGGGGGGGAAGCCAGAGCCCCCCAUGGCUCCGGCAAUGCCGCAGGUCCCCGGGCGGUGGGCACAGGCCUGUGGCACGGAGCCCCAAAUUUCAUGAGCCACGAGAAGGGCUCAGCACCGAUGCCAGGGGCUGGGAGAGGAGCCCCCAGCACGGGGACGGCACCACCAGCACCCACAGCAUGUCCUGGGGCUGAGCACCCCCCCUCCCCAUGAGCCCCCCAUCCUGUGCCAGGGUGCUGCACACACAUGGGGGACGCUGCCCAUGGGUGUUGGGGUGCCACAGGAGGGGUGCAGCCUGCUUCUGACCCCAUUUCUGCAGGGUUGCCCCCCCCAGCCAGCCUUACCGAGCUCCCUGGCCCCCCCACAAGCCGGAGCCCACCGGGAUGGUGCCACGGUGCGAUGCCCACUGCCCGCUCCCACCCCUGCGGGACCCCCGUUGGGGCACGGCGCGGUGCACACGCACCCCCCUUUGUGACACCACGCAGUUCUCCCUCCUUCCAGCCCCAAACGGAGUUUUGAUGUAGAUGGGAGCCCCUCGAUGCCAAACGCCGGGUCCAGCAGGAACCCACCCCAUGUCCCCCCUGCCUCCUGGUCUCCCCCCUAAGCCCCCCUGGGCUGUGGGGUGGCCGGGCCCGGGCUCGUCCUGCAGCUGCUGGAAUUUCCCUUCCGUGGGGUUUGGUUCCUGCACUGAGAAGCAGGGCGGUGGCGGCUGGGCAGGGCAGGCUGCAGCACCACGUCGUGCAGAAAAUGAAAGCAGGCGAGCGAGCAGCAGCUCCGGGUCUGCCCCUUUCCUGUUUUCUGUUUUGCAGCUCCGGUUUCAGCCCUGGCCCUGCACAGGGCCCCCGGGGCCUGCUGGGCUGGGACAACCCACCCGCAGGGACACCCGUGGGCAGGGGCACCCACCCGCAGGGACAUCACCGCCGGGAAUGGGACACCACCGGGACAGGGACACCACUGGGACUGGGACACCACUGGGGAGGACCCCCCAGUUCCUGAUGGACAU